UUUAGCGUCCUUUAAGUUACAGAUGUGCGUGGGGCUCCGUGAGGAGGUGGGCGAAGAGAAAGGCUCUGAGUAAAUAGGUGCCCCCUGAUAAGUGCCGAUGUGCCGUGGGCAGCAUCCUGAGUGAAGGUGAGGAAUCGCCCUCCCCUGAGCUUAUCGACCUCUACCAGAAAUUUGGCUUCAAGGGGUUCUCCUUCCCGGCACCCAGCCAUGUGGUGACAGCCACCUUCCCCUACACCACCAUCCUGUCCAUCUGGCUGGCUACCCGCCGUGUCCAUUCUGCCUUGGACACCUACAUCAAGGAGCGGAAGCUGUGUGCCUAUCCUCGGCUGGAGAUCUACCAGGAAGACCAGAUCCAUUUCAUGUGCCCACUGGCACGGCAGGGAGACUUCUAUGUGCCUGAGGUGAAGGAGACAGAGCGGAAAUGGCGGGGGCUUGUGGAGGCCAUUGACACCCAGGUGGAUGGCACAGGAGCUGACACAAUGAGUGACACGAGUUCUGUAAGCUUGGAAGUGAGCCCUGGCAGCCGGGAGACUUCAGUUGCCACACUGUCACCU
This 554-nucleotide small RNA is filed under the name Pongo abelii (Sumatran orangutan). RNAcentral's name for it is "processed transcript". Lineage: Eukaryota; Metazoa; Chordata; Mammalia; Primates; Hominidae. The record is from RNAcentral.